This 253-nucleotide ribosomal RNA is filed under the name uncultured bacterium. Its description in RNAcentral is "partial 16S ribosomal RNA". It matches the Rfam family "Bacterial small subunit ribosomal RNA", at positions 524 to 776 of the family's 1533-position model. The record is from RNAcentral.
CACGGACCGCACGAACGUUAUUCGGUAUCACUGGGCUUAAAGGGUGCGUAGGCGGCUUUGCAAGUUGGGUGUGAAAGCCCUCGGCUCAACCGAGGAAUUGCGCUCAAUACUGCCGAGCUCGAGAGAGACAGAGGUAAGCGGAACUGAUGGUGGAGCGGUGAAAUGCGUUGAUAUCAUCAGGAACACCGGUGGCGAAGGCGGCUUACUGGGUCUUUUCUGACGCUGAGGCACGAAAGCGUGGGGAGCAAACAGG